GAUGAACGCUGGCGGCGUGCCUAAUACAUGCAAGUCGAACGGGGAGUAGCAAUUCUCUUAGUGUCGAACGGGUGAGUAACGCGUUGGUACCUGCCCCGAAGCGGGGGUUAACGGACCGAAAGGUCCGCUAAUACCCCAUGUGCUCGGUAACGAGUAAAGGUUAAAAACACUUUGGGAGGGGCGUGCGUCCCAUCAGCUAGUUGGUAAGGUAACGGCUUACCAAGGCGAUGACGGGUAGGGGACCUGAGAGGGUGGCCCCCCACAAUGGAACUGAAACACGGUCCAUACACCUACGUGUGGCAGCAGUAGGGAAUAUAGGUAAUGGGCGCAAGACUGAACCAGCAGCGCCGCGUGUGCGAUGACGGCCUUCGGGUUGUAAAGCACUUUUGACUGGGACGAGGAAGGACGGUACCGGUCGAAGCAGCCUCGGCUAACUACGUG
This 441-nucleotide ribosomal RNA is filed under the name uncultured bacterium. RNAcentral describes it as "partial 16S ribosomal RNA". It matches the Rfam family "Bacterial small subunit ribosomal RNA", at positions 28 to 507 of the family's 1533-position model. The record is from RNAcentral.